This is a long non-coding RNA of Oncorhynchus tshawytscha (Chinook salmon), 3081 nucleotides long. RefSeq lists it as uncharacterized. NCBI's taxonomy places the organism in Eukaryota, Metazoa, Chordata, Actinopteri, Salmoniformes, Salmonidae. The record is from RefSeq and is a predicted model, not a curated record. The transcript is spliced from 4 exons.
UUUCAGAUCUCUGCUCCAGUAACUGUCUGUGGUGUUACAGAUCUCUGCUCCAGUAACUGUCUGUGUUGUUACAGAUCUCUGCUCCAGUAACUGUCUGUGGUAUUUCAGAUCUCUGCUGUGGUAACUGCUGACAUCUAUCACACUUAUUGCCAAGUCACCCAGUCUAAUGCCAAGUCACCCAGUCUAAUGCCAAGUCACCCAGUCUAAUGCCAAGUCACCCAGGUUGAGAUGCCAAGUCACCCAGGUUGAGAUGCCAAGUCACCCAGGUUGAGAUGCCAAGUCACCCAGGUUGAGAUGCCAAGUCACCCAGGUUGAGAUGCCAAGUCACCCAGGUUGAGAUGCCAAGUCACCCAGUCUAAUGCCAAGUCACCCAGGUUGAGAUGCCAAGUCACCCAGUCUAAUGCCAAGUCACCCAGUCUAAUGCCAAGUCACCCAGGUUGAGAUGCCAAGUCAGCCAGGUUGAGAUGCCAAGUCACCCAGGUUGAGAUGCCAAGUCAGCCAGUCUAAUGCCAAGUCACCCAGGUUGAGAUGCCAAGUCAGCCAGGUUGAGAUGCCAAGUCACCCAGGUUGAGAUGCCAAGUCACCCAGGUUGAGAUGCCAAGUCAGCCAGUCUAAUGCCAAGUCACCCAGGUUGAGAUGCCAAGUCAGCCAGGUUGAGAUGCCAAGUCACCCAGGUUGAGAUGCCACGACAAACAUUAUCCAUGUAGUUCCCUUUGAGUUGUCUUUACGUUUCCUCUUAGUUUGACCAACAACACUUGCUUUCUAUCUAUUUACCGUUACUAUGCCAUCUGUACAACGUUACAACGCCAUCUGUACAACGUUACAACGCCAUCUGUACAACGUUACAGUGCCUUUGGCCACAUAGGUCUACAUAACCUACUGGCUCAAUAUCUUGAAUGAGAGAGAGCCAGCCUGGUAGGCCAGAUUAAGGUUUAUAUAACAUUACGCCAUGGGCCAUAGGUUUAUAUAACAUUACAAUGACAUUGGUUUAUAUGAACUCCAACAUUUGAUGUGCAGCUUUGUUUAGUGGUGUUGUUGGUAUCACAGUAUAUUCUGUGUUUAGUGGGGGUUAUUGGGAUCCCAGUAUAUUCUGUGUUUAGUGGGGGUCGUUGGGGUUGUUGGGAUCGCAGUAUAUUCUGUGUUUAGUGGGGUUGUUGGGAUCACAGUAUAUUCUGUGUUUAGUGGGGUUGUUGGGAUCACAGUAUAUUCUGUGUUUAGUGGGGUUGUUGGGAUCACAGUAUAUUCUGUGUUUAGUGGGGGUCGUUGGGGUCGUUGGGAUCGCAGUAUAUUCUGUGUUUAGUGGGGUCGUUGGGAUCGCAGUAUAUUCUGUGUUUAGUGGGGUCGUUGGGGUCGUUGGGAUCGCAGUAUAUUCUGUGUUUAGUGGGGGUCGUUGGGAUCGCAGUAUAUUCUGUGUUUAGUGGGGGUCGUUGGGGUCGUUGGUAUCACAGUAUAUUCUGUGUUUAGUGGGGGUUAUUGGGAUCCCAGUAUAUUCUGUGUUUAGUGGGGGUCGUUGGGGUCGUUGGGAUCGCAGUAUAUUCUGUGUUUAGUGGGGGUCGUUGGGAUCGCAGUAUAUUCUGUGUUUAGUGGGGUUGUUGGGAUCACAGUAUAUUCUGCGAAUAAAUGCAAUUAGUCUCGCUGAGGAUGAUGGGAUUUUAUAUCAGAUAUGUUGCAGAAGCUUUGAUUCUGUGAUGACUGAAAUGGAGAAUUUAUUUUACCCUCCAAUCGUUUUAUUUUAUUUUGCAAAUGUUUGUUUUUUUAAAUUGUAAAAUGAAUGUUUCUAUCGAAUAUUACUCUUGUAUAAUAUAGCCCUUUACACUCAUAUCUGUAUACAGGAUGAAACGGCAGAUUUGGGCACCUAGGUUGGAACGCAGUGACUGUCCAGUCACAUGACAGUCACAUGACAGUCACAUGACAGUCACAUGACAGACAUGUCAGAGGCUCUGUACUUCACAGCUCUGUGUUCUGACUGACAGCUGUUCUGAACAUGACCACCCCACUCAACAACAAGUUAGUUGCCCCCAUCUCUCCAGGUAAUUGGGCAACUUUCUGUCGUCUGAUUGAGGUUAAAGCUGUAAAUUAAGAGGUGUUUUUAUGUAUUUUGAAAGAUGAGAUGUUGAGGAUUAUAAUGAAUACCGCUUUGAUGUCACACAAGCAAACCAAACACCUGUUGAGUCCAAAUGUGGACUUGAUAUUUUCAUAUCAUAAAGCUCAUGUCACAUAGUGUCCAUGUUUAGAAUCACUGUUGUUUGAUGUACAGCUACAAGAUGACAUGGUUAAAAAACCAGGCUUUCAGUUCAAGCCCACCUGACCCAGGUUGAGAUUCAUAAUGGACUGUUUCUGGACUGGGUGAAACAACAACAGUCAUUGUGUGACGGUGGGGAUGCAGGGUUGUGUUUCAAGACGAAAGAACAAGUGUCCUCUAGUUCCUCACAGCUGGGAGAGGAGGAAAAACGCCUGAUAGCUGAAGACUGUUCGUUGAGUCAUAAAAGUGCAUUGAAAUGUCUUGUGAACUGUGGAGAGGUGUGUUGCCACUUGGAUACACCCCAGGUAGUCUUCUCACUCAGACCCUUGUAAUCGUUUUGUCUUGUGUUUCAUCUACCCCACGUUUUCCAGGAAUAUUCUUAUUAACAUGUUACUGAAUGUAUCCAGAGUAUUUUCAGAUUUCGUGAUCAACAAAUGGGGUGAAAAGUACAGAAAAAUGUAAAAAGAGCAUAAAACCAACCGUGUGAUGUUUAGAUUCAGUCUUGUCAGGUGAACUUUGGUCUGAUGAUUCUCCCAUAAGUUCCAGUGAUUCAUUUCAAUUGCUACCAUGGUAAUAAAUAUGCUUUUCGUAUUUCUAGUGUCAGAAACAUUUAAAUGUGGCCCUAUCCAUUUUGGCCGUUACACUGCUGGGAACUUAAGACUUGUUGCCAUGAAUUUAAAUACGCCUCUGUUUUGAUCAGUAGAAAACCUUUUAAUUGACAAUUUCACUUUCAAGCAACAAUAAAACCCCACAAAGAUCAAGAUUUGUUAUUUGGGUUGUUUAGUGUUUUUGAGGUUUCUGUUAGUAGCUAAACCAGAUUAUACACUGAGUGUACAAAA